Molecule: ribosomal RNA, 301 nt
Filed under: uncultured bacterium
Lineage: Bacteria
Description: partial 16S ribosomal RNA
Rfam family: Bacterial small subunit ribosomal RNA
Source: RNAcentral
CAGUAGCCGCGGUAAUACAGAGGGUGCGAGCGUUAAUCGGAUUUACUGGGCGUAAAGCGUGCGUAGGCGGCUUUUUAAGUCGGAUGUGAAAUCCCUGAGCUUAACUUAGGAAUUGCAUUCGAUACUGGGAAGCUAGAGUAUGGGAGAGGAUGGUAGAAUUCCAUGUGUAGCGGUGAAAUGCGUAGAGAUCUGGAGGAAUACCGAUGGCGAAGGCAGCCAUCUGGCCUAAUACUGACGCUGAGGUACGAAAGCAUGGGGAGCAAACAGGAUUAGAUACCCCGGUAGUCCCUGUCUCUUAUAC